AGAGUUGAUCAUGGCUCAGACGAACGCUGGCGGCACGCUUAACACAUGCAAGUCGAACGGAGUUAUUUGGAGCUUGCUCUGAAUAACUUAGUGGCGGACGGGUGAGUAACACGUGAGCAACCUGCCUUUGAGAGUGGAAUAGCUUCUGGAAACGGAUGGUAAUACCGCAUAACAUUACCGGACCGCAUGAUCUGGUAAUCAAAGAUUUAUCGCUCAAAGAUGGGCUCGCGCCUGAUUAGAUAGUUGGUGGGGUAACGGCCUACCAAGUCGACGAUCAGUAGCCGGACUGAGAGGUUGGACGGCCACAUUGGGACUGAGACACGGCCCAGACUCCUACGGGAGGCAGCAGUGGGGAAUAUUGCACAAUGGGCGGAAGCCUGAAUGCAGCGAUGCCGCGUGGAGGAAGAAGGUUUUCGGAUUGUAAACUCCUUAUCUGAGGGACGAUAAUGACGGUACCUCAGGAGAAAGCUCCGGCUAACUACGUGCCAGCCGCGGC
Molecule: ribosomal RNA, 496 nt
Filed under: uncultured bacterium
Lineage: Bacteria
Description: bacterial SSU rRNA
Rfam family: Bacterial small subunit ribosomal RNA
Source: RNAcentral